UGCUCCAUGAAUAAUUUUAAAUAGCUGCAGAAUUUUAACDGUACAAAGGUAGCAUAAUCAAUAGUUUUUUAAUUAAAAGCUGGAAUGAAUGAUUUAAUAAAGUAAUUAUUGUYUCAAUUUUAAUAAUAUUAUAAUUUUUUUUUUAGUAAAAAUACUAAAGUAAUUUUGAAAGACGAGAAGACCCUAUAGAUUUUUAUAAUUUAAAUUAAAUUAAUUUAAAUGAUUAAUAAAUUUUAAUUAAAAAUUAUUUGGUUGGGGAAAUUAUUAAAUUAAAUUAAUUUUAAUUAUUUAAAACAAAAAUUUUUGGGUUAUUGAUCUUUAUUUAAAAAUUAAUAGAAUAAAUUACCUUAGGGAUAACAGCGUAAUUUUUUUAGAUAGUUCAUAUUGAUAAAAAAGAUUGCGACCUCGAUGUUGAAUUAAGAUUAAAUUUUAAUGAAGAAAUUAAAAA
RNAcentral lists this ribosomal RNA (448 nucleotides) under Gyropyga nigra. RNAcentral's name for it is "partial 16S large subunit ribosomal RNA". The record is from RNAcentral. Lineage: Eukaryota; Metazoa; Arthropoda; Insecta; Hymenoptera; Ichneumonidae.